AUACGGAGGGUGCGAGCGUUAAUCGGAAUUACUGGGCGUAAAGAGUACGUAGGCGGUUUGCUAAGUCAGAUGUGAAAGCCCCGGGCUUAACCUGGGAACUGCAUUUGAUACUGGCAGACUAGAGUAUGAUAGAGGGGGGUAGAAUUCCUGGUGUAGCGGUGAAAUGCGUAGAUAUCAGGAGGAAUACCCGUGGCGAAGGCGGCCCCCUGGAUCAAUACUGACGCUGAGGUACGAAAGCGUGGGGAGCGAACAGGAUUAGAAACCCUAGUAGUCC
RNAcentral lists this ribosomal RNA (274 nucleotides) under uncultured bacterium. RNAcentral's name for it is "partial 16S ribosomal RNA". It matches the Rfam family "Bacterial small subunit ribosomal RNA", at positions 523 to 796 of the family's 1533-position model. The record is from RNAcentral.